This 254-nucleotide ribosomal RNA is filed under the name uncultured bacterium. RNAcentral describes it as "partial 16S ribosomal RNA". It matches the Rfam family "Bacterial small subunit ribosomal RNA", at positions 524 to 776 of the family's 1533-position model. The record is from RNAcentral.
UACGUAGGGUGCAAGCGUUUAUCCGGAAUUAUUGGGCGUAAAGAGCUCGUAGGCGGUUUGUCGCGUCUGCUGUGAAAACUGGAGGCUCAACCUCCAGCCUGCAGUGGGUACGGGCAGACUAGAGUGCGGUAGGGGAGAUCGGAAUUCCUGGUGUAGCGGUGGAAUGCGCAGAUAUCAGGAAGAACACCGGUGGCGAAGGCGGCUCUCUGGGCCUUACCUGACGCUGAGGAGCGAAAGCGUGGGUAGCGAACAGG